CAAGGACGGCAUCUACGAUCCGGGAGAGAUCGGAGACCAGCAGCUCAGAUCUUUGAAUUGACCUGCUCUUUGGAAUUGGGCGCGGCAUCGGCGAUGGGGUGAGCGGCCGGCGGCCGGCGGCGAGCGGAUAAGCUGCGGGUGUGCUAAACACUCUGGCUGUCCUCUGCUCUGUCGUGGUCGGCCGGCGGAAUCGGUGGCGCCGUGGUCAGCCGGCUGAAUCGGCGAAGUGGUGCUCCAGCGAGAUCUAUUUGCUGUUAUGCUCGGAGCUGCCAUUUCCGUCGUCCUCUGAUCCGGUUGUCUCCUGGUUUGAUUCGCUCUCAAAUAACCUCAUAUGUUCUGUUGAUUUGGGUCUAUUGCCGUGCGUGUUUACCUCGUCCAUAAAAAUUGGUGCAGCACCUGGAUUUUCACCUGUUUUGGAUAGAUGCGUUAGAGGUGGUUCAGUUAUGGCAUGAAAUUUGAUGGGCGGUUGACUCGCUGAGGGAAAACUAGUUAUCCAUCGCAUUCAUAGAUUUAUUAUUGCAGGUUCUGGGCUUACCUUGCUCAGCAUGUAUGUCAAGGCGUCUCUCCUAGCACGAAAAUUAUUAGUUCAUGUAGAGUGAGCAGAAGAGAAGACACACCUAAUAAUCUAUGUUCAACACCAGGGCGUAGGAACUCUCCUCUGUCCAUAGAUCCAGGCUGUGUAGACACCAUAGCUCAGCAAUCUCGACAUUUUGUAGCUCACAUGAGUACGACCACGAGAGAUCUAAAACCAUCGGCGCUGAGAACAACACAUUGAAAUGGCCAUACAUGUCAGCUCGCAACGUGAUCUGCUUAAGCAUGGGGCCACGAUAUCAAGGUCACCAAGACACCGGUAGACACUCAAGAUAAGCUACUCAAUCGUCGGUGAGUGGACUUUGACUGCACGCGCAAGUGAGGGCACCACCUAAUCAGCUUAACCAAGUUGCUGAAGCUGCAGCGAGAGACAUACAGCUUCUCCAGCAUAGGGAACUCAACGCCCCCUGCCGGUAGUAUUAUAUAGAGUUGGCUGCGCUUAGCUUGGUAGCCCGAUGUUAGUUUUAGUCAUCUACUUUUCCAGCGACUCCUGUGUUUUUGCUCAAAAAUUUCAUUGCCGGAGCUCAUUGAUUCUUCAGGCCUUCGUGGGAGGUGGUUCACAUAUAUCAGUGGUGACGUAUUUUCUUAUCAACUACAUGUUUGGUUGCUCCUACUUCAUCAAAUCUAUGUUUUUGGCUGCUGAGGCAAUGGAUCCAUCAAUCUUCUUUUAUUGAUACCAACUAAUUUAUGACUAGCUAUGCAGUCUUUAAUAAUGUAAAAUGUUAAAGAAAAGAUUGGCUCACUUUUCUGCAUGUCACCAAUGCGUAAUUUCUGAUCCAUCAUGGAACUUGUGAUAGAUUGAUCAGUUUUUCCCAUAUCGUAGCUUGGCUUAUGUGUAGAGCCUGUAAAUUUACAUCAGUGUAUCUACAAUCAGGUUACUGUUGUAGCCAUAGCCAUUGUCUAGGAGAUUUUUUGAGCAUAUGCUCUUUUGUCGCCGCCGAUGGUUGACCGUAGAUUUACGUCAAGCGACAUGCUUUCUCAAUUUCCACUAAUUAGUUCCAGAUUGAUAUUUCAAGUUUCAGUUCAUCUUUUGCUUAUUGGUUUUGUAAACGAUUUGACUCUGUGGUGACAUGUAUUGAAUUGCUAGGCUAACAGCGGGAAGCAUGGAGGCAACGCCAUCGGUUCACCGUACAACAUGUCCUAGUCAGAGGACCAGCAGGCUAAUGAGCUCUUUAGAAAGAAGCUAGAGAUGUUUUGCAGUGGUCCAUACCGGAGCUCUCGUUCCCAUUGAUGGCUCCUCCGCUCGCAGAGGUGUCAGUGCCCUUAUUACGGUGACUCCGACAGCAGAGCUUUCGUUCUGGACAGCAGCUCCCCGGACAAUUCUCCCCGGUACUGCUUCCGAACAGACCAACUGGUUAUCACAAAGCGUGGUAGGUAAUGCUAGUGACAGUUUAGGGAAAACGAUGUGAUUGUGGUUAUAUUGGUCAGGUUAUAUUGGUCAGAUGUGUUCUUUCCUGGGGAAGCAAUCAGUAUAGAUUGAUUGUAAGUAAACUGUAAUAAGUGGCUCUAAAAGUCCCCUUUUGGAACGCCUGAAUUUGAUGGAAAACGAGUGUAAAUUGUUCUGUUUUCACACUUGUGAUUAUGUUUGCUGAUAUCAUUAUGAUUUUUCCGUACAACUAAUUAAAUUAUGCUGCUAUGUGAAUGUAUGGUGAUAUGAUUA
This is a long non-coding RNA of Lolium perenne, 2251 nucleotides long. RefSeq lists it as uncharacterized. NCBI's taxonomy places the organism in Eukaryota, Viridiplantae, Streptophyta, Magnoliopsida, Poales, Poaceae. The record is from RefSeq and is a predicted model, not a curated record.